GAUGAACGCUGGCGGCGUGCCUAAUACAUGCAAGUCGAGCGAACAGAUGAGGAGCUUGCUCCUCUGACGUUAGCGGCGGACGGGUGAGUAACACGUGGAUAACCUACCUAUAAGACUGGGAUAACUUCGGGAAACCGGAGCUAAUACCGGAUAAUAUAUUGAACCGCAUGGUUCAAUAGUGAAAGACGGUUUUGCUGUCACUUAUAGAUGGAUCCGCGCCGCAUUAGCUAGUUGGUAAGGUAACGGCUUACCAAGGCAACGAUGCGUAGCCGACCUGAGAGGGUGAUCGGCCACACUGGAACUGAGACACGGUCCAGACUCCUACGGGAGGCAGCAGUAGGGAAUCUUCCGCAAUGGGCGAAAGCCUGACGGAGCAACGCCGCGUGAGUGAUGAAGGUCUUUGGAUCGUAAAACUCUGUUAUUAGGGAAGAACAAAUGUGUAAGUAACUAUGCACGUCUUGACGGUACCUAAUCAGAAAGCCACGGCUAACUACGU
This 496-nucleotide ribosomal RNA is filed under the name uncultured bacterium. RNAcentral describes it as "partial 16S ribosomal RNA". It matches the Rfam family "Bacterial small subunit ribosomal RNA", at positions 28 to 506 of the family's 1533-position model. The record is from RNAcentral.